RNAcentral lists this unclassified non-coding RNA (175 nucleotides) under fungal sp. RNAcentral describes it as "partial internal transcribed spacer region". The stretch from base 1 to 46 matches the Rfam family "Eukaryotic small subunit ribosomal RNA", at positions 1786 to 1831 of the family's 1831-position model. The record is from RNAcentral. Lineage: Eukaryota; Fungi.
AAGUCGUAACAAGGUAUCCGUAGGUGAACCUGCGGAUGGAUCAUUACUAAUGAUUUAUCUUACCUUUUGUGAAUUAUUUGAUACGGUCAGCCUCGGCUGGCCACUAUAUACUUGACUUUUAAACUGAAAUUCUACAGAAUUAAAACAACUUUUAGCAAUGGAUCUCUUGGCUCUC